GUGGGGAAUAUUGGGCAAUGGGCGAAAGCCUGACCCAGCCACGCCGCGUGAGUGAUGAAGGCCUUCGGGUUGUAAAGCUCUGUGGGGAGGGAAGAAAAAGCGGGAGAGUAACUGCUCUCGUGUUGACGGUACCUCCUUAGCAAGCACCGGCUAACUCUGUGCCAGCAGCCGCGGUAAUACAGAGGGUGCAAACGUUGCUCGGAAUUACUGGGCGUAAAGCGCGUGUAGGCUGACAUGCAAGUCGGGUGUGAAAUCCCAGGGCUCAACCUUGGAACUGCACUCGAAACUGCACGUCUUGAGUACUGGAGAGGGAAGCGGAAUUCCGGGUGUAGAGGUGAAAUUCGUAGAUAUCCGGAGGAACACCAGUGGCGAAGGCGGCUUCCUGGACAGUAACUGACGCUGAGACGCGAAAGCGUGGGGAGCAAACAGGAUUAGAAACCCGAGUAGUCC
Molecule: ribosomal RNA, 450 nt
Filed under: uncultured bacterium
Lineage: Bacteria
Description: partial 16S ribosomal RNA
Rfam family: Bacterial small subunit ribosomal RNA
Source: RNAcentral